UCGAACGGAGUUGAAAGGAGCUUGCUUUUUUCACUCAGUGGCGGACGGGUGAGUAACGCGUGAGUAACCUGCCUUUCAGAGGGGGAUAACGUUCUGAAAAGAACGCUAAUACCGCAUAAGAUUGUAGCUUCGCAUGGAGCAGCAAUCAAAGGAGCAAUCCGCUGAAAGAUGGACUCGCGUCCGAUUAGAUAGUUGGCGGGGUAACGGCCCACCAAGUCGACGAUCGGUAGCCGGACUGAGAGGUUGAUCGGCCACAUUGGGACUGAGACACGGCCCAGACUCCUACGGGAGGCAGCAGUGAGGGAUAUUGGGCAAUGGGGGAAACCCUGACCCAGCAACGCCGCGUGAGGGAUGACGGUUUUCGGAUUGUAAACCUCUGUCCUCUGUGAAGAUAGUGACGGUAGCAGAGGAGGAAGCUCCGGCUAACUACGUGCCAGCAGCCGCGGUAAUACGUAGGGAGCAAGCGUUGUCCGGAUUUACUGGGUGUAAAGGGUGCGUAGGCGGAUUGGCAAGUCAGAAGUGAAAUCCAUGGGCUUAACCCAUGAACUGCUUUUGAAACUGUUAGUCUUGAGUGAAGUAGAGGUAGGCGGAAUUCCCGGUGUAGCGGUGAAAUGCGUAGAGAUCGGGAGGAACACCAGUGGCGAAGGCGGCCUACUGGGCUUUAACUGACGCUGAGGCACGAAAGUGUGGGUAGCAAACAGGAUUAGAUACCCUGGUAGUCCACACUGUAAACGAUGAUUACUAGGUGUGGGGGGUCUAA
Molecule: ribosomal RNA, 760 nt
Filed under: uncultured bacterium
Lineage: Bacteria
Description: bacterial SSU rRNA
Rfam family: Bacterial small subunit ribosomal RNA
Source: RNAcentral